GACAGAGGAUGCAAGCGUUAUCCGGAAUGAUUGGGCGUAAAGCGUCUGUAGGUGGCUUUUUAAGUCUGCCGUCAAAUCCCAGGGCUUAACCCUGGACAGGCGGUGGAAACUACCAAGCUGGAGUACGGUAGGGGCAGGGGGAAUUUCCGGUGGAGCGGUGAAAUGCGUAGAUAUCGGGAGGAACACCAGUGGCGAAGGCGGCUACCUGGCACAUAACUGACGCUGAUACGCGAAAGCGUGGGGAGCGAACCGG
RNAcentral lists this ribosomal RNA (253 nucleotides) under uncultured bacterium. RNAcentral describes it as "partial 16S ribosomal RNA". It matches the Rfam family "Bacterial small subunit ribosomal RNA", at positions 524 to 776 of the family's 1533-position model. The record is from RNAcentral.